GUUUAUAAUUAGUGAAGAGAUGAAAAUAAUGAAACUGUAUGGUGCAGAAAGUGUUUUUUUCAUUGCAGUUUCUGCUGCUGGGAAAGCGGUAUAUCACUAUGGCUUCUGUACCGUGAUUAGUCACUCUUUUUCGCAUCGGUCCCUAUUUUCGGUUAUCAUUUCGGUGGCUGCAUUCCGUAUCGGUGACGUUCGACGUUUGAUAGUUCAUCAAAUAGUAGCGCUGUUAUUUGGUCAAUUUGGUCACCUGUCAGCUGCGCUACUGUUUUAGCAGCGCGUUUAGUAGCGACCGGUAAAGUGUCAAGUAAUGAUACUGCGCUGAAAAACGGUUUAUACUCACCACCGAAAUGAAGCUUAUGAUAAAUAAAAUACUGCUGCUUGCUGGUCACUGAUUGAAGAUCGUUCAGUGGCUACCAUUGGCCAAUCUCACCAAUGGGAUAUAAUAAGAACUGAUGCAGGUUUAUAUCUAUGUGUAUUGUCUAUUCGGAACAAAGUUAGUACGCUUUUAAA
Molecule: long non-coding RNA, 507 nt
Organism: Armigeres subalbatus
Lineage: Eukaryota; Metazoa; Arthropoda; Insecta; Diptera; Culicidae
Exons: 4
Source: RefSeq, a predicted model, not a curated record